RNAcentral lists this unclassified non-coding RNA (219 nucleotides) under Hevea brasiliensis (rubber tree). The record is from RNAcentral. Lineage: Eukaryota; Viridiplantae; Streptophyta; Magnoliopsida; Malpighiales; Euphorbiaceae.
GAGUCCAUUUGACAUGAACACUUUCUGUGACUCUCUUGGUGGAAACAUCAAUCUCACUUCCUGUGGAGGGCAUUUUCAAAUGAUUUUCCUGGUUCCCUUGUUCAGAAUCCUUCAUUGGCUUGCUGUCACGAUGUUUCAUCCCGGCAUCCUCAGAAAUUACUUCCUCUGAAUGGGUGAAGCCCUGGUAAAUUGCUGCAUUGUCACGUUCAUGGAACUGGC